ACUUUGAAUCAAAAUAAUACUAAGCAUUGUCAAUUCAUAGUGGCAUACCAAUCAAAAUGUACAUAUAUUGUCUAAACGUGCAAUUUAAUAAUUUACGUCACUUGUACAUAUUUACAACAAAAUGACUCGGGCUUCCAGCGGAGUGACCACAAUGAAGGUGUAGCUAAUGAAUGCCAUUGAUACCUACCAAAGAUACGAAUCUACAAAGACACCUCGACCUAGCUAUCGGCUGCCUCUUGAUCUGAAAAUAUGAAGUUGAAAACGGUGAGUAUAAACCCAGUGAGUGAACAAGAAGGGAACAAGCAAACAUUAAGAAAUGUUUAACGAAAUCAUGAUGCAUUCAUUUUUUAAAACAAUGCAAUUUGUUUUAGUUAUUAUUAAAACCCCUCAUGUAAACACCACAUGAGUAAAUCACUUAAUGAAAAGAGUCCAUGCUCAACAAAGGAUUUGGAGAGUGAAAACUUUAAUAGCAUUCAUGCGAAUAAAGUCAAAUAAACGACGAGUCUUCGCUGCAGCGGAAAGGCAUUCUCGCUGCAGCGAAGUUAGAUUCAAGUUAUUAGCCGAACGAGGGUUUCUCAACUAACCAAGGGUUUCUCACCAAAAUUCCUCAUUUCAAACUCAACUAAUUAAUUUCUUAAUGUUAGAAGUCCAUGCUCAACUAUGGUACCAAAGAAGUGGAAAAUAGGACAGCAACCAAACAAAAUAAGGAACAAAACAGAAAGUUUUUCACUGCAAUGAGAAUGAAUCUCGCUGCAACAAAAUUUAUGCCAUAAAAUAGAAAGUUUCUCGCUGCAGCGAGAAGCUACAGCAACUUUCUCACUGCAGCGAGAAUGAAUCUCGCUGCAACGAGAAUCAGAGCACCAAGAAAAGGUUUCCAUUCCCCUCAAGAAAAAGCCAUCCUGCUGAAAAAACAAAAUCAACAUGAAACACAUAAAGAUUUCCAAAGUUCAACAUGCCAAAUUCAUAUGCAUUUCAACCAUAAACCAUAUUCAUGAGUUUUCAUUCUCUAAACAUAUAUACAUAUACAUACAUGGAUAAAUACCAAUACCACUAUCAUCUCAUCUAGCUCAUGUGCAUCCCCCCGCAUCGUGCACAUAGCCGGAGUCAUCGUGUGCAACCCCCCACAUCGUGCACAAUUAGUGCCAUCGUGUGCAUCCCCCCACAUCAUGCACAUGAGCACUUUCAUCAUCCAACAUCCUCACCACCGUCAUCACCGGCAUGUGCAUCCCCCCACAUCAUGCACACGAAUGGUUAUCAUUAUCACACCAUGUCAGCCAUCAAUGCACAACAUAUAUGUAUAUCAACACAAUGACAUAAAACAAGAAUCCAUAAUAGCCACAUGUUAUAUAUAAAGACAAUAAUCAAAAGCUUGUUCCCAAGGUACCCAAUUUUUAGAAAAGUUGAAUAAACUCAUUCAAAGGCAUUGUACAAAUACAUUCACAUUCCCAAAAUAGUUUUGAAAUGCAAGUUCACUCACCGGUAUUCUAUUGAACCUUUAGUCGACUCUAACUUCCCUAAUGGUCCAAAUGGGAUGGUGUGGCUUCGUUGGAACCUAUCAUCACAUUAACAUCACAAUUAACUCAAUUCUCAUAAUUACAAGUUCUACAAGCUAUCACUUACUAGUUUUCAAGUGCCAUUAAAUGGCUAUCCAUUCCCACUAUCCUAAUCACUCCAAAGUGAAUUUACAACCUCAACUACCAAAACACCCACAAGUCUAAACACUAAUCAUUUUCAACACUAAAAAUUAAUUCUAGUUCACUACUCACCUUGGUAGCUUUGUGCUUGAAAUUCUUUUCGAAAACUUUCACGCUAUUAUUGAAGCUUCCUCUUUCUCUCUCUAAAACACCUAACUAGAGAGAGAGUAUGGAAAUAAGAUUUUCUUCAAGGGUUUUAAAGAGAAAGAGUGGAAGAUCACAAGGGUUUAUGAAAGGGUGCACCAAAAGCAUGAAAAGUGGAGCUAUUUUGAGGGAGGUUAUGAAGGUUCAUAUCAAGCUUCCAUGGAGGUUGGAAGUAACGUGAAAG
Molecule: long non-coding RNA, 2022 nt
Filed under: Theobroma cacao (cacao)
Lineage: Eukaryota; Viridiplantae; Streptophyta; Magnoliopsida; Malvales; Malvaceae
Description: long non-coding RNA (TCAC_LNC005391)
Source: RNAcentral